This is a long non-coding RNA of Salvia miltiorrhiza (redroot sage), 1820 nucleotides long. RefSeq lists it as uncharacterized. NCBI's taxonomy places the organism in Eukaryota, Viridiplantae, Streptophyta, Magnoliopsida, Lamiales, Lamiaceae. The record is from RefSeq and is a predicted model, not a curated record. The transcript is spliced from 4 exons.
AAACCCUAACUUAAUUCAAACCCUAACUUUUCUACAAAAUUGCACUUCCAAUGCCUGCCGCUGUAAACCUCCUCCGCCGCUAUUCCCUGGAGAGACACGCUGCCUCCGCCGCUGUUCCCGUAAACCUCCUUUGCGCCUCUUCUCUCUGCGGCGCUAGGCGAUUCGUCGGCGCCGCCCCUUCUCCCUUUGCCUCAAUCGAUCCGGCGUCGCCUCUUCCCCUGCCCUAACUCUUCUUCUUAAAUCUGAAAUCGUCGCCGCCGUGGUUCCGAAAUCUCAGGCGACGUUGUCGCCCCAAGGCCGACGUUGCUCCGCCUGAAAACGCCGCCACCGCCGCGCACAGAGUCGCUGCUGCUGUCUCUCAAAUUUAGGGGAGGCCGCUCAAAAUUGAGCCUUAAUUCUUCCCCUUCCAGAUCGAGCCCUAGCUCUUCUCCUGCCGAUUCAGUUCGGCCGUUGCCGCCGCGUGUGGAAUACCUGCGAAUCGGCGUCCUCCAUCUCUCUACACACGAAGUCUGAAGUCAAAGCCGGCUGCUCCUCUCUCUCCUGUAACGGACUAAUCGCCGCCGCUUCCGCUCCGGUGGUGUCGCCGUGUUCGAGCCACGCCGUUGCUGUUUUUCUCGGACUCCGCCGAGGCAGCAAGAGCUGCCAUCGUCAUCUUCGUCCCAGCUCGGCUAAACAGGGCUGUCGGCCUUCCCUCCUCCCAAAGCUAAGUUAAUCUAUAGCUCUACUGUGCAGUUUCCAUUUUUCUAUAAUUGUUAUGCAAUAAAUAGCACUAAGCACUAAACUCUUGCUACUGUAUCAAGGAAUUCCUCACUGCAUUUAGCUCGUGUGAAAGUCAUAGGUUGUUGUUGGUUUUGAUGGAAAUAAAUUGAUUAUGCAAUGGUAAUGUUUGUCUAUCAUGCUUAGAUGGAGAAUAUGCAUUAUGAGAUAUAGCAUAUUGAGCUCAGUAAAUACCUUGAAAAUUUGUUGGUAGGCUGCUGUAGUGGUUUUAAAUGAACUGGGAAAAUCUGAUAUAUUCAAGACCUCAGAGUUUUGGCAGAACAAUGAAUGAAGCUUCUCCUUACUCAUGGUGUAAUAUAAUGGUCCAAGCUUACAAACUCGUCAAUAUCGAGUUUCAAAUUACUCCAUGAUUUAAUUUGUUCGUCUAUUAUUGUGUUUUUAAAUGACGUUUUGCUCGUAGUUUUGGAUGCGAGCAGUUGCUGCCAGGAAGAGCAUUUGAUAGUCAGCAACUUUAUGAUGAUUUUUGGGAUGGAACAGAGGUCCAACUGAAAUCAGUGAGUGGAAACAAAUACGUUUCCGCUGACAAUGGUGGGAGAGGGGCCGUUGCGGUUGACAAAGUGAUCACCUGCCAAGUUGAGGGUAGUUCAGUUAUAUGCAGAGUGCUUUUUACUUGGAAAGAAAUAACGACAACCGAAUUCACAUCAAACUCAAGACUGGGAUGUAUUUGCAGGGCAUGACAGUACUGAAAUAUCAAGUAGGGCUCAGGUGCAGAAGAGAAUUGCUGGGAAAGUCGGGCAAAAUACUACCGGAGGUUGACAUGUAUGGGGGAUUCCAGUCCUGUUACGAUUUCUCGGGGCUGAGUAAUACGGUGGAACUCCAGCCCUGCAUCUGACCUGGAUCUCUCAGCAUGUAAAUUUCCUGCUCUGACCUGGAUCUCUCGGCAUGUAAAUUUCCAGCUAUGACCUGGAUCUCUGGGCAUAUAAAUUUCCAGCUUGGAUCUAAUAUGUAAUGUUGGAUGAAAUUUGUUUGAAUGUAAUAUUUAAUGAAUAAUGUUUGAAUGAAUGUAUGGAUUUUUAGUAUUAAUAUAUGUAUUUUUAGUUUUC